AGCAGCCGCGGUAAUUCCAGCUCCAAUAGCGUAUAUUAAAGUUGUUGCAGUUAAAAAGCUCGUAGUUGAAUUUCGGAAUCAGUAUGUCGGUCGUGCCUCCGGUAUGUACUGGCGUCACUGGUUCCUCCCUUCUGACGAACCAUCAUGCUAUUAAUUUAGUGUGGUGGGAAAUCAGGACUGUUACUUUGAAAAAAUUAGAGUGUUUAAAGCAGGCUCACGCUUGAAUACAUUAGCAUGGAAUAAUGAAAUAGGACGUUGAUCCUAUUUUGUUGGUUUCUAGGAUUGACGUAAUGAUUAAUAGGGAUAGUUGGGGGCAUUAGUAUUCAAUUGUCAGAGGUGAAAUUCUUGGAUUUAUUGAAGACUAACUACUGCGAAAGCAUUUGCCAAGGAUGUUUUCAUUAAUCAAGAACGAAAGUUAGGGGAUCGAAGACGAUCAGAUACCGUCGUAGUCUUAACCAUAAACUAUGCCGACUAGGGAUCGGAUGAUGUUAAUUUUUUAAUGUACUCAUUC
Molecule: ribosomal RNA, 511 nt
Filed under: uncultured fungus
Lineage: Eukaryota; Fungi
Description: SSU rRNA
Rfam family: Eukaryotic small subunit ribosomal RNA
Source: RNAcentral